Molecule: long non-coding RNA, 276 nt
Filed under: Homo sapiens (human)
Lineage: Eukaryota; Metazoa; Chordata; Mammalia; Primates; Hominidae
Description: HSALNT0315993
Source: RNAcentral
AUAUCAGGAAGCUUAAUACAAUCCCAGAGGUUUUACUUGAAAAAUAGAAUUUUAUUGAUAAAAAAUAGAAAACUUCAAAUCUAUCACAACUCAUCAACAGUCUACUCCUUUUAUGUAUUGGAAGCUUGUCAACUUCUUUUUGAAAAGUUAAAGUUAAGUUAGAGCUAAGACCAUAAACAUAUGAAGACUGUCUGAGAAGACAUGACUGGAAACUGAAUAGGGCUGGGCGUGGUGGCUCACACCUGUAAUCCCAACAAUUUGGGAGGCCGAGGCGGG